RNAcentral lists this small RNA (476 nucleotides) under Pan troglodytes (chimpanzee). Its description in RNAcentral is "processed transcript". Lineage: Eukaryota; Metazoa; Chordata; Mammalia; Primates; Hominidae. The record is from RNAcentral.
CUCGUUGCGCAGUAGUGCUAGCGGCUUCGCGGUUCGGUCCUCGCACCCGGCAGCCGCCACUGGUGCUGAGCUGCUAGGAAGCCCCUAUCGGCGAGCUCGUUGGAGCUUGAACCCAUUGUCACCCCUCCGACUCACCGGCCCAAAAAAAAAAAAAAUGGUUGAAGCAGAUCGCCCAGGAAAGCUCUUCAUUGGUGGGCUUAAUACGGAAACAAAUGAGAAAGCUCUUGAAGCAGUAUUUGGCAAAUAUGGACGAAUAGUGGAAGUACUCUUGAUGAAAGACCGUGAAACCAACAAAUCAAGAGGAUUUGCUUUUGUCACCUUUGAAAGCCCAGCAGACGCUAAGGAUGCAGCCAGAGACAUGAAUGGAAAGAGGAGGAAGUGGAGGAACCAGGGGACCUCCCUCACGGGGAGGACACAUGGAUGACGGUGGAUAUUCCAUGAAUUUUAACAUGAGUUCUUCCAGGGGACCACUCCCA